Molecule: RNA transcript, 3300 nt
Organism: Lotus japonicus
Lineage: Eukaryota; Viridiplantae; Streptophyta; Magnoliopsida; Fabales; Fabaceae
Gene name: receptor-like protein kinase FERONIA
Exons: 1
Source: RefSeq, a predicted model, not a curated record
AAAUAUCAAAAUGCCAGGAGGGAGCAGAUUAUUCUCAGCGAGUAUGCCAAACAGCUUGCAGGUUAUGCAGAUACGUCCAAGAGUAUCUCCAAAUACUUUCCUUAAUUUCUUCCAUUUUUUCAGUACACUGAUAGUGAUUGGGUUGUCAAAAAAUGAGAUUGGGGAGUGAUAAGUUUUUCAACAUUUUCGUGCUGAGCUAAAACAUUGACUUGUUGGCUUUUGUCUUUCUACCAAAGCUGAACAAGUCAAAAAACAAAGAUAAGGGUCCCCUGAAGUUAACAGCAGCUGCUACUUGCAAAAUUUUAUUCCAAUCUUUUGCUUGACUGAGGAACUUUCAAGCUUCCACCACCUGAUUUUCCAGUAAUUAAAAGUGAGCAGCCAUAACCAAUCAAGUAUCAAUCACCCCAUGAACAUAAUCACUGUCCUCAUCAUAACUCUUUACAAUUCCAUUGAUUCCUAGCCAGCCUCACUUUCUCUUAUCAAACUCAAACAUGAGGCUAACACUGAUCCUCCUCUACUUUUCACUCUCAAUUGUUAUACUCUCCACCUAUCUCCAAGCUUAUGAUCCAGUUGAUCGUUUCACCAUCAAUUGCGGCUCCAGCGGCAACUCCUCCGACGGUGGCGAAAGGACAUGGAUGGGGGACACAGACUCAAAGCUAUUAUCUCCUGAACAAAUCUACACAACAGUCACAGCUCCAGCAAACACACAAGCCCCUUCCAUCAAGCAAAUCCCCUACGCCACAGCUCGAUUAUCCCGCUCCCAAUUCAAUUACUCCUUCCCAGUCACCGCAGGCCCCAAAUUCCUCCGCCUCUUCUUCUACCCAGCUUCAUACUCAGGCGGCUUCAACCGCGGAGACGCUUCCUUCACCAUCAUAUCCAACGGAUUCACCCUCCUGAAGGACUUCAACGCUUCACUCACCGCGGAUGCUGAAGGACUUGACAUCAUCUUCAGAGAAUACACCAUCAACGUCAACAACGGCCAAAGGCUUGACUUGUCCCUCACUCCAACCACAAGCUCCUCCUAUGCUUUCAUCAAUGGAAUUGAGAUUCUAUCCAUGCCUAGUGACCUCUACUACACACCCUCCACUGACCCAGGAUUCAAGCUCCUGGGUAGCAGCAACCUCUACAGCGCUGUAACCAGCACUGCACUGGAGACAAGUUACAGAAUCAAAGUUGGAGGCCAAACAAUCUCACCCAACAAAGACACAGGCUUAUUCAGAAAGUGGGAAGGCAACGAUGAAGAUUUCUUAAAAACACCGACCGCAAUCGAUUCUGUACCAGCUGACUUAAAGGAUGCCAACAUCACCGUGAGCCCUGAUUACACAGCACCCAAGGACCUAUACAGAACAGCACGCGACAUGGGGUUGAACAAAACUCAUAACAAAAGGAUGAACCUGACUUGGGAGUUUCCUGUUGAUGCUGGCUUCACCUACAUGCUCAGGCUCCAUUUCUGCGAGCUUGAUCCUGCAAUCACCGACACCAGCGACAGGGUUUUCUUCAUCUACGUGACGGGUAGGGUUGCAGAGGAUCGCGCUGAUGUUAUGAAAUGGGCCAGCAAUCAAAGAGGGGUUGCUGUUCAUAGAAACUAUGCUGUGAUUGUUCCAAAGAAUGAUGUUAAUCAGAAAAAGGUGAAUCUCUCGCUCCAGAUGCAUCCUUAUGCAGAUAACGCAGAUACAAAAUUCAGCGAUCCCUUCUUGAACGGGCUAGAAAUUUUCAAGAUCAGCGAUGUAGCCACCAGCAACCUCGCCGGACCUAACCCGGAUCCGCUUCAGACUCGGCCUAGCUCGCAAGCUCCGAGCGCGGGAAAGAAAAGUAAAAGCUCAACGACGCUGAUCGGCGUCAUCGCCGGGGUGGCUUCCGGCGUCGUUUUGUUGCUGGUUGUCAUUUGCUCCGUCGUCAUCCUCCGCCGGAGAAAAACGGGAACGGAAACGGAAGCAACAGCAAAAGCCUACACGGAUCCGAAGUCGUCGAAGUGGGGCCCGCUGUCAAUCUCGACGACGAAGUCGUCCAAUACAAACUCAUCCCUACCGUCGGAUAUCUGCCGGCAGUUCACAGUGGCGGAGAUCCGCUCCGCGACGGGGAACUUCGACGAGAACUUCAUCGUCGGGGUUGGCGGAUUCGGCCACGUCUACAAAGGCUACAUCGACGGCGGAUUAACUCCGGUAGCCAUCAAGCGUCUCAAACCAGGCUCCCAGCAAGGCGAACACGAGUUCAUCAACGAGAUCGACAUGCUCUCGAAGCUCCGCCACCUCCACCUCGUCUCCCUCAUCGGGUACUGCAACGAGAGCAACGAGAUGAUCCUCGUCUACGAUUUCAUGGCGCGUGGGACCCUCCGCGACCACCUCUACAACACGGAGAAUCCUUCUUUAUCAUGGAAGCAGCGGUUGCAGAUCUGCAUCGGGGCGGCGCGUGGGCUUCACUACCUCCACACCGGCGCGAAACACACGAUCAUCCACCGUGACGUGAAAACCACGAAUAUUCUGUUAGAUGAGAAGUGGAUGGCGAAGGUUUCGGAUUUCGGGUUAUCGAGAAUAGGGCCCACUGGGAAUGUAAAAACCCACGUCAGCACGGUGGUGAAGGGUAGUGUUGGGUAUUUGGAUCCGGAGUAUUAUAAACGACAGCGUUUGACGGAGAAGUCUGACGUGUAUUCUUUUGGUGUGGUGUUGUUUGAGAUACUGUGUGCGCGUCCGCCUCUGAUUCGGACCACGGAGAAGAAACAGGUGUCGCUUCCUGAUUGGGCGAGGUUUUGUUAUAAUAAUGGGACGUUGGGUGAGAUUGUGGACCCCGCGUUGAGGGGAGGAUUGCGCCGGAGUGUUUGAGGAAGUUUGGGGAGAUUGGGGUGAGUUGUUUGUUGGAUGAUGGGACCCACAGGCCGUCCAUGAAUGAUGUUGUUUGGAUGCUGGAGUUUGCGUUGCAGUUGCAGGAGAGUGCGGAGCUGCGUGAGGGUGGUGGUGGUGGUGAGGUGGUGGUGGGUGGGAAGAGGGAUGAUAGUGGUGGUGAUGAUAUGUUUAGUAGUGGGACCAGUGUGGGCCAGGUUUCGGAUUUUAAUAAGGAUAGUAGUGGGGUGAGUGUGAGUACUGCUAGUAGUGGAACUGAUACUAGUAGGUUGAUGACUUCAGGGACCGUUUUCUCUGAAAUUAUGGACCCAACCGCACGUUGAGAGGGAAAAAAAAAAAAAUCAAAUCCAGUGUACCUUGGUUGAUAUAGAUUCUUAGAAUUUAUUUGCCAAUUUUUGAAGCUGUAAUGUGAAUUUGUUUUAAGUUGUAUAGGAGGAAAUGAAUUGCAUUUAUUCUCUAGCUA